Molecule: long non-coding RNA, 5193 nt
Organism: Triticum aestivum (bread wheat)
Lineage: Eukaryota; Viridiplantae; Streptophyta; Magnoliopsida; Poales; Poaceae
Exons: 3
Source: RefSeq, a predicted model, not a curated record
UCCGCUCCGCCCGCGCCCCACGCUCGACGUGCAGAGCAACCAAAAUGGUCAAACCCUAGCCGCCAAACCUUCUCGUCCCGAGCCCCACGUCCCCUUCGCCUCGUCUCCUCCCUGAUCCAUCCUCUCCCACGCCGCCGCCCCUCUCCCCGCUCGCCUCAGCCGCCUCCUCUCCUCCCCGUGCCGCCGGCCCCUUCCUUUCUCCCCGUGCCGCCGGCCACCUCCCUUCUCCCCGUGCUGUAGCAGAGAUGCCUCAGUAGGGGCAGAACACCGGGGCUUUAUCUCCCCUUGUCUAGCACCGGCCGGUGAACAAGACGGAGGGUAGCCAAGGGCGCCUCAAACGGCGGCUGCUCUUCUCCGGCUUGGACCAGAACCCCGGCGUCUGGGUAAGUGCAGAGGAGCAAGCAGAGCAGAUGGUGCAGCCGGCCUCCUCCUCUCUCUCCCUCCCCUUGCUCUCACUCGCAUUCGGCACCCUCCUCGCCGUUGGCUACAUACCCAGAUAUUUGAUGAAAAAACUUUGAUAAAGAAAUAUCAGGGUCGUCUUCAUCGACAUGAGCAUCUCUAUCGGACCAUGCGUCCAUGCCUCCCCAUCUACCGUGCUGGAGUAGCCGCCUCCUGGUUGAGGUAUCGCACUGCCACCGCUGCCGCUGCCUGGGUCCCUCCUCUCGCUCCUGCCGAGGUCGCAUGUUCGUCGAGGCAUCAAGACACGUCGGUUUUCUUUUCUUUUUCCCUAUUUCUGUUCUUCCACUUGUUUCUUCUUCCUGGACCUCCCUGUCAACUGAAAUUGCAGGCUGAGGUGAGCACCAUGAGGAAGAGGAGGUCAGUGGCUGAUAUAGAGAGCUCCUCGAACGGGGAAGUAGCAGUUCUGGAGGAACUCGAAGAUGCCAUUUUUCAGUUUUGAUGGGAAUCACUACAAAUAGUUAUGGUCAUGAAUGUAAGAAUUUUCUGAAUUUUACCUCUCAUUUACAGUUUUGAUGGGAAUCGCUACAACAACAAUUAGAAGAAACUGCAUUGCAGGUUCAGAACCAAUUUCUAGGGGUAUCUACAAGCUGUUUUUAUUCCAUCUUGGUUUUAAAUUGGUUAAUUAGCAUAGUAUAUUGAUUGUUGAGCUUUAUUUCAUCUACAUUUUGUUUUGAACAUGUGUGCUUUAAGAAACUUAGUAUUCUUCCCUAUUUUGAAGAGCCCACAAAGAGACUAAAAAAUGGUGAUAGUCAUGUCCAGAAUGUCGAAAGCUUCAUUUUGGUCCAUUAGAUAGUUUAUAGCUUUGUCACUGGAGGUUAGGUUGUCGCACAGGGGUUGCUGCUUGUGAAAAUUAUAUACAGCCACGAGUCCCUGACAAAAUAAUCGCAGCUUGUGAAAAUUAUAUACAGCCAUGAAUGCUCCAUAGUUCUACAUGCAACACAGCUAAUUACCGAAUCUGCAAUGCAUGCUUAUUUCUGGUAGAGGCUUAGUGGAUGAUUUAGCAUUGUGUAAAGUCUGUCUAAGCUCCCGUCUCUUUUCUUUCUAUAAACUGGAGGCCGGGAUAGAUUUCUUAAUACCAAUUUUGGAUUGUUUGAGCACUGAACAAUGUUAACAGGUUUACCAUUUCUCAUUUCUUAAUACCAUUUUUGGGAUUGUUUGAGCACUAUACCAAUGUUUUGCUUUCUGCUAAAGUCAAAGAUAUUGUAUCCAAUGUUUUUCAAUUGCCAACACAUGCCAAAUUUUGCAUAUUCGUUCCAUGGAGAGUGUGGAAGUAAUGUAAUAAUGUGGCACUGAGAUUGGCGAGUGACGCCUACUUCCAGUGUACAGAUUUAUCAAAAUGCACAUGAGUUGUCCUAUCAAAUGUUCAGAAAACUGUUAUGUGUUAAAACUGCUGCCAGAUUAGUUCACAUGUGUCUUUCUCUUUACAUAAUUUCUUGCUUCUUACUGAACUUUACGCUGCAUUUCUCUGAACUUUCUUGCUUGCUUGAUUGCGUCGCCUCAACUUUGGCUAGUGUUCUUCCCUCUCCCAUAUGGUCGCCAUCUAGGUUCUCUUCCAGCACUUGCUCAGAUCAUCCGACAAGGCUCUCUGCCAGAUGCCUAAUUCUUAUUUUCUGAUGUUUUGUGUGCAGGAUUAUGGCAAGGAGCAGUGGUCGUUCGGGUUCUGGGGGAACGACAUGCACAGGUUAACUCCGAAAUUCAGAAUUUAAGUCUUCGUAUUGACAUCCGAGACGAAGAGAAGUGCUGCAGAGACGCGUUUUAUUUCAAAGUUACGAUACUUAUAAAGUAAACCAUGCUUUGUCAACCUAAUAUGUGUAUGUAUAGGCAAUAAAGGUGAAGAACAGAGUCUUUACUUCUUCUCUUCCAACGGAUCUCCUAGCUAAAUGAAGAUAUGGAUAGGUGCUACUGAAGUAGCCAACAUAUACUUAGUAUGGAGGAGAGCGCGUGGGUGUACAUAAUAGGGAAGCAAGUGAGAUCCCAAGAAAAUACGCAUACAAGUAUAUCGCAAGGUGAAUGCUAUAUUAUUCUUAAAUGAAAAUUACACUAGGUUGACUUUUAAUAUACAUGGAGCAUCCUUUUUUCAACAGUCUAAUUACUCCAUGUAAUUACUGCAUCCAUUUUGGUAUGUGAUACUACAAGUGUAAAUUCAGGAGAAAAAAACUAUGUUGUUUAGUGUGAGCUGCAAAUUUAGUUUUUGUUGGUGGAUUUCCUCAACCAUAUUUUCACUGCAUAGAGUGGACUUGGUAGGAGUCUGUUAUUCAGCUCUGUUCUAUGUUUGGAGAGCACUCUCUUUUUCCCUUUUGUGGGAAAAUAUUUUAUAGUGCACUAACCCAUGAUUAGUAGCUGUGGUAUAUGAUGAUUAUCCAAUGACAAAACUGUUACAGAAACCUUCAUUUUGAUAAGGAAUCAUGACCUAAGGUCUUUCUAUACAUUUGCCUGGCUAAUUUGAUAUAUAUAUAUAUAUAUAGGACAAAUUUUAUCUACCACCAGUGGUAGUUACCACCACUUGAGUUUUGUAUGUUGUAUGUAGUAUCUAUCAAAUCGGAGAGUAUGUACGCGUAGUAUGUAGUAUAUAAGAAUGUUUAGGUAGUAUAUAUACUACUUUUUUGAUAGUAUGUAUCGUAUUUUGAGUAUGCUCCUUUUUACAUACAAAUAUGUACGUAUUUCAUAAAUAAAAUAAAAAUCAUGGGUCAACUUGCAAUUUUUUCAUGUAACUCACUUUGGAGUAUCUUAUAUUUAUUAUGUAAACAUACUUAAAAUGUUAAAGCAGAAUAUAUACUACCACAUGUUAGUAUAUGAGACAUGUGGGGUAACUACCCCCAGGUGGUAGGAUGGAUUUUCCCUAUAUAUAUAUAUAUUAUUUUUACAUUUCAUCUUCUAUUUCAAGUAAAUUCUUGCCCAGCAUGCUAUUUACCACUUAUACGUACUUUAGCCUGCACAAUUGACGGACCUGCUACAGUUAAGUAGGAAAUUUCAGGCAUGGACCAAGGAAACAAGAUGCUGAUGGAGCGUCCUAUAUUGCUGCUACCUGAUUUUCUGUGAACUUUCAAAUUAGUUUUGCGCUGUCCUUCAACCACUGCUUUUUAUAAUCCAGAAGAAUUGGUAUCUGCAUAGGCAAUUGGUAGUGCAGUGCGCUUGCUUAGGCCAUCAAACAUAUGGGUAGAGAUAAGAGUUUAGGCACCCGGAUAAGUGGAUAUAGAGAUUGCAGGCCAAUAUAUCAUUAGCUGUACGAUAUGAAACAACUUAAGUGGCAAUAUCAAAUGUUCUUCUCUUUUCGUAGACAAAAGGGAUAAUGUGUUUUACUAUAUAUAUAUAUAUAUAUAAAUUGACAUGCCAUAGAUAUUUAUGGUACGAUGCCUUUCCCACACAUUCAAUGGACAGUCCACUUCCAUAUUUAUUUCUUCUUACACCCAGAAUAUGUCUCUCUUUUAAGUAUUGACUGAAACAUUAGCAAUAAAAUUAUUAGAAGAGUUUAUUCUUGCCUACAUCGAAGCACUAUAAUAUCUACCAUUCAGUUACAGUUUGAAGUUCAUAUAUCGUAAUAGUAUUAUAGGUUGUUUUUAUAUUUUUAUCAAUUGAUGCUUUCUUAUUAGAUUUUUUUCAAACUGGCUUCCUUCUCAACAUCCUAUACUAAUAUAGGUUAUUGGAUAAAGUUCUGUACUGAUAGUCCAAAACUUUGUGGUCGCCCAGGCUAUUCAGCCUUUAAUCAUAUUUAACAUCAUCAGGUAAGUAACGAUGUCAUGAUCAGAAGUCAUUGGCUAUGUGCUAUAUAUAUGCGCAUAAUUUGAUAAACUACAUUGCGCAUUCGAUUGUUUUCAGGAACAAUAAAUUUGCUUAAUUUUUUUAACUCAAUGUGAAAAUGAACAUUGAUGUUUUUUGUCCCUCGAAGGAGACGAGGUUUAAUAUUUGCUUACAUGACCAGGAACAUUAGGAGAUGUUCAAAUGAGUAGUUAAAGAAGAAGAGUUAUUUGCAAAGAUGGUAUCUUUCUUUUCUGUACAAAGAUGAUGGCUAUACCCACAAUAUUGCUCUUAUUACCUUCUUUUGAUGUAGACCUUGGCUCAUUUUCGUAGCAACAAAAAUUCUGAAUUUAUUGUGCGCACAUGCUUAUUUGGCCAAUCAGGAUAAUAAUAAUUUUGCGGUUUUUGUACAAGUUUUAUCAGUUUAUUGUUUUCAAAAUUAGAAUCUUGCUGAUUAACCUAUCUGCAUUUUGUAGUUCAGUAGCUACCUACACGAGGUUGGUCCAUUAACUCUUUUGUAGAACCAGAUUGUUGAUAUUUCCUCAGAAGUAAAAUGUUACCUUUUCCUUUACUCGCUUACUUGAAUCCAGACUAUUAGGUACCCACCUUCCAAGAUAUAUAAACAACCAAAAAUAUCACGUCAGGCUAUGCUUUGGUUAUUGAUCAAACAACCAACACUCUGGUGUAUAGGAUCUCUGGAUAAACAAGCUCGAGGAGGCCGUUGUUUGGUGCAGCCCAUGACAGCAACUACACGAUUGACCACUGAAGCAAGGUCCUUAUAUGGUCACUGAAGAAAUCAUCUUUCCUCCGACCGAAGGGCACUUUUCUUGAAUCUUAGUCAGUGUCUGUUGUAAUUUACUAUCAUCCCUAAGAGAAACUUAAUUCUGUGUUGCCGUUCUUUAUCUCUAUUGUUUAAUCCAAAUUACUACUGUGACAUGAUAACAUAUAUGAUGCAAUGGAAAAUAUUCCUAAGAACUGCACGGACACAGUGCUUUAUCA